UACGGGGGGGGCAAGCGUUGUUCGGAAUUACUGGGCGUAAAGGGCGCGUAGGCGGUUUGCUAAGAUGGAUGUGAAAACUCUGGGCUUAACCCAGAGCCUGCAUCCAAAACUGGCAGGCUAGAGUUUUGGAGGGGGAAGCGGAAUUCCUGGUGUAGCAGUGAAAUGCGUAGAUAUCAGGAGGAACACCGGUGGCGAAGGCGGCUUCCUGGACAAAAACUGACGCUGAGGCGCGAAAGCUAGGGGAGCAAACAGG
Molecule: ribosomal RNA, 253 nt
Filed under: uncultured bacterium
Lineage: Bacteria
Description: partial 16S ribosomal RNA
Rfam family: Bacterial small subunit ribosomal RNA
Source: RNAcentral